This 823-nucleotide ribosomal RNA is filed under the name uncultured eukaryote. RNAcentral describes it as "SSU rRNA". It matches the Rfam family "Eukaryotic small subunit ribosomal RNA", at positions 629 to 1426 of the family's 1831-position model. The record is from RNAcentral.
CGGUGUUUAACUGGCGUGAUGUGGGACGUCCUACCGGUGGGCUUAGCCUCGCGAGGGGCGGCCCAACUAAUAUCCCGUCGCGGUGCUCUUUACUGAGUGUCGAGUCGGGCCGGUACGUUUACUUUGAACAAAUUAGAGUGCUUAAAGCAGGCUAUCCUCGCCUGAAUACUGCGUGCAUGGAAUAAUGGAAUAGGACCUCGGUUCUAUUUUGUUGGUUUUCGGAACCCCGAGGUAAUGAUUAAUAGGGACAGAUGGGGGCAUUCGUAUUGCGACGUUAGAGGUGAAAUUCUUGGAUCGUCGCAAGACGGACAGAAGCGAAAGCAUUUGCCAAAAAUGUUUUCAUUAAUCAAGAACGAAAGUUAGAGGUUCGAAGGCGAUCAGAUACCGCCCUAGUUCUAACCAUAAACGAUGCCAGCUAGCGAUCCGCCGAAGUUCCUCCGAUGACUCGGCGGGCAGCUUCCGGGAAACCAAAGCUUUUGGGUUCCGGGGGAAGUAUGGUUGCAAAGCUGAAACUUAAAGGAAUUGACGGAAGGGCACCACCAGGAGUGGAGCCUGCGGCUUAAUUUGACUCAACACGGGAAACCUCACCCAGGCCCCAGACACCCGGAAGGAUUGACAGAUUGAUAGCUCUUUCUUGAUUCGGUGGGUGGUGGUGCAUGGGCCGUUCUUAGUUGGUGGAGCGAUUUGUCUGGUUAAUUCCGAUAACGAACGAGACUCUAGCCUGCUAAAUAGGCGUACCUUAUGGUAUCGCGAAGGCCCCCGGCUUCGGCCGGUGGGUUUUUACUACCAACGUACAAACAAAUCUUCUUAGAGGGACAGGCGG